GCUCAACCGUGGAGGGUCAUUGGAAACUGGGAAACUUGAGUGCAGAAGAGGAGAGUGGAAUUCCAUGUGUAGCGGUGAAAUGCGCAGAGAUAUGGAGGAACACCAGUGGCGAAGGCGGCUCUCUGGUCUGUAACUGACGCUGAUGUGCGAAAGCGUGGGGAUCAAACAGGAUUAGAUACCCUGGUAGUCCACGCCGUAAACAAUGAGUGCUAAGUGUUAGGGGGUUUCCGCCCCUUAGUGCUGCAGCUAACGCAUUAAGCACUCCGCCUGGGGAGUACGACCGCAAGGUUGAAACUCAAAGGAAUUGACGGGGACCCACACAAGCGGUGGAGCAUGUGGUUUAAUUCGAAGCAACGCGAAGAACCUUACCAAAUCUUGACAUCCUUUGACCGCUCUAGAGAUAGAGUCUUCCCCUUCAGGGGACAAAGUGACAGGUGGUGCAUGGUUGUCGUCAGCUCGUGUCAUGAGAUGUUGGGUUAAGUCCCGCAACGAGCGCAACCCUUAAGCUUAGUUGCCAUCAUUAAGUUGGGCACUCUAGGUUGACUGCCGGUGACAAACCGGAGGAAGGUGGGGAUGACGUCAAAUCAUCAUGCCCCUUAUGAUUUGGGCUACACACGUGCUACAAUGGAUAAUACAAAG
Molecule: ribosomal RNA, 639 nt
Filed under: uncultured bacterium
Lineage: Bacteria
Description: bacterial SSU rRNA
Rfam family: Bacterial small subunit ribosomal RNA
Source: RNAcentral